RNAcentral lists this ribosomal RNA (467 nucleotides) under uncultured bacterium. RNAcentral describes it as "partial 16S ribosomal RNA". It matches the Rfam family "Bacterial small subunit ribosomal RNA", at positions 28 to 507 of the family's 1533-position model. The record is from RNAcentral.
GACGAACGCUGGCGGCGUGCUUAACACAUGCAAGUCGAACGGAAAGGCCUCUUUCGGGGGGUACUCGAGUGGCGAACGGGUGAGUAGCACGUGAGUAACCUGCCCUUGACUUUGGGAUAACUUCAGGAAACUGGGGCUAAUACCGGAUAGGAGCUCCUGCUGCAUGGUGGGGGUUGGAAAGUUUCGGCGGUUGGGGAUGGAUUCGCGGCUUAUCAGCUUGGUGGUGGGGUAGUGGCUUACCAAGGCUUUGACGGGUAGCCGGCCUGAGAGGGUGACCGGCCACAUUGGGACUGAGAUACGGCCCAGACUCCUACGGGAGGCAGCAGUGGGGAAUAUUGCACAAUGGGUGGAAGCCUGAUGCAGCAACGCCGUGUGCGGGAUGACGGCCUUCGGGUUGUAAACCGCUUUCGCUCAUGACGAAGCUUUGUGUGACGGUAGUGGGUAAAGAAGCACCGGCUAACUACGUG